Non-coding RNA from Triticum aestivum (bread wheat), 115 nucleotides. Lineage: Eukaryota; Viridiplantae; Streptophyta; Magnoliopsida; Poales; Poaceae. The record is from Rfam.
CUACUACUCCCUCCGUCCGAAAAUACUUGUCAUUGAAAUGGAUGUAUCUAGAUGUAUUUUAGUUCUAGACACAUCCAUUUUGAUGACAAGUAAUUCCGGACGGAGGGGGUAUUAU